GUGGGGAAUUGUUCGCAAUGGGCGCAAGCCUGACGACGCAACGCCGCGUGGGGGAUGAAGGUCUUCGGAUCGUAAACCCCUGUCGAGUGGGACGAACGGCCAUCGGUUUAAUAAACCGGUGGAGUGACGGUACCGCUAAAGGAAGCCACGGCUAACUCUGUGCCAGCAGCCGCGGUAAUACAGAGGUGGCAAGCGUUGUUCGGAAUUACUGGGCGUAAAGGGCGCGUAGGCGGCCCUCUAAGUCAGACGUGAAAUCCCCCGGCUUAACCUGGGAACUGCGUCUGAUACUGGAGGGCUAGAGUUUGGGAGAGGGAUGUAGAAUUCCAGGUGUAGCGGUGAAAUGCGUAGAUAUCUGGAGGAAUACCGGUGGCGAAGGCGGCAUCCUGGACCAAUACUGACGCUGAGGCGCGAAAGCUAGGGGAGCAAACGGGAUUAGAUACCCGUGUAGUCC
RNAcentral lists this ribosomal RNA (451 nucleotides) under uncultured bacterium. Its description in RNAcentral is "bacterial SSU rRNA". It matches the Rfam family "Bacterial small subunit ribosomal RNA", at positions 354 to 796 of the family's 1533-position model. The record is from RNAcentral.